GGGUUUUUGUUCUAUGUAUUCCCUCGAUCGAAGCCUUUCCUGUUCGGGAUGUUACGACCGCCCCUUCGGCUCAAGGACGUGUGAGAGUAGGGAGAUCGUUGCGAAUUCUGCUGCUGAGGCGAGAUGCGGGCCAAGUGGAAGAAGAAGCGUAUGAGGAGGCUCAAGAGGAAGCGCCGAAAGAUGAGGCAGAGAUCUAAGUAGGCCACUAUGGACGUGCUCAUUUCUUCAACAAAACAUCCCUGGCUGUGGUGGUGAGACUAAGUAGGCCGCUAUGGAUGUGCUCUGUCUUCAAGAAUACAUUCCUCGCUGUGGUGGUGGUUCUGAUUCCAUUCUCCACAUUUGGGGAUUAUUGGUGAGCUAGAGCUUUGCAUAGUGUUGCUUGUUGCUUAACUUCGUCAUUUAGGCAUUAAUUCAACUGUUUCGAGCAGUUUGAUGAUGGUGUCAGUUUAAUAUUUGGUUUCAGUUUAUUUUCAAACUUUGGUUAUUUCUUUUGGUCUAUAACAUGUAUCAACUGUCAGUUCUACACAUUUUAUCUUAUCUAGUUUUCUUUGAAGCUAAUCAAGCUUUUCCAAUUA
Zingiber officinale is the source of this 575-nucleotide long non-coding RNA. RefSeq lists it as uncharacterized. The record is from RefSeq and is a predicted model, not a curated record. The transcript is spliced from 2 exons. NCBI's taxonomy places the organism in Eukaryota, Viridiplantae, Streptophyta, Magnoliopsida, Zingiberales, Zingiberaceae.